Molecule: long non-coding RNA, 3815 nt
Filed under: Carica papaya (papaya)
Lineage: Eukaryota; Viridiplantae; Streptophyta; Magnoliopsida; Brassicales; Caricaceae
Description: long non-coding RNA (CPAP_LNC015869)
Source: RNAcentral
UAUGUUUCCUACUAUUCUUCUCUAAUUAUCAAUUGUUAUUUCUAAUCGCAAGCGUAGUAUCUAAUAGAACAAGUACUGUUUUGGAAUUUGGAUUCCCCCUACCUCACUGAAAAGGCACACAAAUACAUCAUGCACAUACAUUAAUCACAAUAAUCCGUCACCUGGUGGCCCAGAAGAAAACAUGUAUCUCAACCAUGUUUGGAAGGGCUUUCCUCUAUCUAUAGGUAGGGUUUCACCCACCGCUAAAUUUCAGUCAUACUAUUAUGACGUAUAUUAAACAUUUUAUUUUGAAAAAUUCUUUGAACUUUUUGUUUUAUUAUAUAGUUGUGUGGCUUGAUAUUUAGUUGUGUUGAUUUAUUUUGUAUAUUUGUUUACAUUUCACAUUUCUUACUAUGUCAAUUACAUUCUUACGAACUCUGUAACACUUCUCUAUAUCUUUUUAUCCAAUAUGUACUCUACUCUAUCAAUUUACCUCCUUUUCAUUUCCAAUAAAUUUUCCUCAUGAAUUCCAUUUUGUUAUGUUUAGUAAAUUGGAAUUUUAUAUUUAAAAUUUGUUAUUUGUUGUUUUGUUAUUUGAUUAUUUAAGUUAGUUUUGGAGAAGUGUCAUGUGAUAAUUUAGUUCCAUUAGGUUUAUUCCCAACAUCUCCUUUUAACCAAUUUAUCCUUAAACUCUUAGCUGUUCAUCAUUACCCCAAUUACUUGCAAAUAUUGUUUUUAAGUGAAUUUAAGUUUUAUUUAUUUUUAAUGUAGAUUUAUUUUCUUUGUUGUUUGAAUUUAUUUAUGAUUGUUUUGGAUAUUUUAUUCCCACUUCUCAAACCCAUUUACAACCCAACUAAAUUUUCUUCAUUGUUCCUCCUUUUUAUUUCUUUUAUUCUAUCUCAUUCUUACAAUCUAAAAUGUUUAUCCUCUCCCAUUUCUUGCAUUCUCAUCUUGAUCAACUUAAUAAUUAUUCCCAUGAGCCAUUUUAAUUUAAUUCAUAAUUUUAUUUUUAAAUUUAUUAAUUGAUGUUUUAAUUUGUUUAGUUUUUGAAUUUUAUUCAUUUGUUUACAUUAAAUCAUUUCCUAAUAAUUUAUUUUUCAUUUUCUUACAAAUCUUAUAUUAUUAGUUAAUUGUUCAUUCUGAACAAAUAAUUUCUAAUACAACCUGCAUACCAUUCUAACUCAUUCAAACUCAUCAUCAUCACUUUCACGAUUAAUCAAUACAAUACAUGCAUAAUUUCAUCAUGCAUCAAACACCAUGAAUAAAAUCCCUAUUUUACAAUUUUUUUAAUUUAACGAAAUUUGAUUAUUAAUUACCAUUUCUCAAUUUCUUAAAUUUAUUCAGUUUCCCUUAAACUUUUGAUUUUGAAUGCAUUUUGUUUUCAAAAACAUGCAAAUGGGGCUUCAGUUUAGUUACUAGAUAUACUUACCAUCCAAAGAUGAUUAUGCUUCGAACGUUCUUCCCCAAUGUCGUUAUGCAUACAUGAAACUAAGUACCGAUUAUAGAAAAAUUUCUAAUUUUAUUACCGAAAUGAAUCUACUUAACCCAAAUUUAAUCCUAAUUUAAUUAAGUGAAAUUGAGCAAUCUUAAUCUAACACUAAACGGUGUUAAAGUCUAAAAGGAUCAGGUUUUCGAAUUUACCUUGAAUCAGUUUGGGAUUCCUAAAUAAAACACAUCUCCGUUUGUCAUACGAAGUAGUUGGAUUAGAUCAAGGAACCUGCAGUAGAAAAUCAAAUCGGUUAGAGGCCGAUCAAUGCGGUCAAACUUAAAACAAAAAUAACGAAACUUAUCUUAGUAGUGGCAGAAGGAGGCGCGGGUUGCAGCCUCUAGGUUUCCUCCCACACUGUCGCACGCCAACCUGCAGCUAAGUCAUGCAUCCCAACGCGAUCAGCUACCUAGAUAUUACCAUACAGUUGCCACGCACACCAGAUCCUACAAAGUUUACAGAUCUGGAUUCUUAUUGUUGGGGCACAACCGUCUGCGUUUGUGAGAAUAGUCACCCAAACACGCUGGCACAGCCGCUCUUGCGUAUGCGGGCUCCCAUGUUCACAUUCACAUUUCUCCUCUCUUUCUCUACCUUGCAACCUCAGUUGCUCAUGAAUAUCUCUUUCCCCCUUCCCACUCGCGGGCAAUAGCCACUUUGCGAGCUCCAACUCAUCUUCCCUCUUUUUUCCUUCUCCCUCGACUUUCUUCUCCUCUCUCUUUCCUUUCUUUCCUUCCCCGUUCAUGAUUGCCCAUCGCAAGCUCCUCCCUCUUCUCUCCUCUCUUGAACCCCUUCAUCUUCUUUUUUCCUUCUUUUUUUGUUUUUCUUUUUUUAAUAAAAUUGCCAGUGCCGAUCCCUUUUUCUCCUCCCUCUGGCUUGUAGUGGCAGCUGCAAGCUGUUCACUCUAGGUGGAGAUCACGGCUGCGUAAUCUCCCUUCCUUCUCACUUGUCGGCCAUUUUGGCCUAAGUGAGAGGAAACCAUGUGAGGGGUUUUCCUUAAAUAAGUCAGUUUUCAGCCAUCAGAUCUCCUUUCAUGAAAUCUGGGUCGUUAGUUUCGCAGGGGGGCAAAACCGUCCAUUCACGAUCGAGAUGCGAUCUCAGCCGUUGAACCAAAAUCUCUUAUAUCAUGGUCGUACGAUCUAGGGCUUAAUUAAUGGUCUUUUGGUCAUUUUAUACCCUUUGAAAGCUCGAUCCUUUAAUAAGAUCUAUGCAUGAUUUUAGUCUUUCGUUUGAAUUUCAAACAAGAUACAAUAUAGGUUGUUCGAUCGGAUUGAGUGGGAAGUAUUUUUGGUCAUUAGAUCAUGAUCCAUGCGAGAGUUCAUUCUAGUCGUCUAAUCGCAACGAACACAGACCGUUAGAUCUCAUGCGUAGAUGGCUUCCUAACCGUUGGAUUGGCUAGGGCGAGAACACCCACAAGAUCACAAUCCUGGCAUGAGGAAUCCCUGACCGCACGAUCUGCAUCCGCAACAUGCAAACCACUCUAUCAUAUCGCCGUGUAGAUGUCACGCAUGCGUAUGCACACUUGCGUAUUCGCCACACAGCGUGUGGCCAUUGGCCCCAUGGCCACGUCACACACUAACAUGGCUGGAUUUUCAAUAAUUGCAGUAAGUUCCUGAUUUUGAAUUUUUGUUUCAUUUGGGUCCUUGGGCCCUAUUUUGGUGCCCAAAAAGCCCCCAAUUUUUUUAUUUUCCGCGUUUAAGUCCCUAACUUCCUAUUUAAUUUAAUUUUGGGUUUAAAACUAUUUUUAAAUUGUUUUAGUUAUUUAUUUUACAAUACUUAAUUUAAUUAAUUUCCUGUUUCCUUAAAAAUUAAUUUCUAAAUUUCUUAAUUUUCUAAAUAAAUUUAUUUUAUUAAUUUAUGAAAUAUUUUCUAAUUUCCUAAGUACUUAGUUGUAUUAAUUUACAAACCUUAAUAUUACCUAAUUCAUUUCACUAAUUUACAAUUCUUAAUAUUUUUAAUUUUCUUUUUAAUUUAUUUCAAAUUUUAGUUUUCUUUUAUAAAAUUCAGAGUCUUGUUGUGUGGGAUGUUAUAAUUAGACUAUCUUCCACAAGUUAGUUCAACAUUAUGAUCUAUAAUAAUCAUACCUAUGAUAUUUAUAGCAUUCAAUUUUAGAUUUGUCUACCAACUUAGGUUUUGAAUAAGCUAAAUGGUUGUUUUCAUUAUCUCUUCAUCUUCCUCGGGUAUGAGAAUAUUAAUUAUCUUUACCUUUCUGUGCCACAUUUGUUGAUUUUGUCAUUUUUCUUUCUCGACUAUAUCUUUUUAAUGGUGUAGAUUGAUUAUCAUAUAAGACUCGUAGAGUCUACUCAUCUUUGUUUGUUGCUUCAUUUUUUGUUCGUGAAUUACUAAAUAACCC